CACUGACGUCGCGACGCAUAUCAAUAAGCGGAGGAAAAGAAACUAACAAGGAUUCCCUUAGUAACGGCGAGUGAAGCGGGAAGAGCUCAAAUUUGAAAUCUUCAAGGUUCUACCUUGACGAAUUGUAGUUUAAAGAAGUGUUUUCUGUUAGAUGAGUAGGCAAAAGUUCCUUGGAAUAGGACAUCAUAGAGGGUGAGAAUCCCGUAUUUGACCAUUACUUUCAGCUGUGUGAUACACUUUCAAAGAGUCGGAUUGUUUGGGAAUGCAGCCCAAAAUGGGUGGUAAAUUUCAUCUAAAGCUAAAUAUUGGCGAGAGACCGAUAGCGAACAAGUACCGUGAGGGAAAGAUGAAAAGAACUUUGAAAAGAGAGUUAAACAGUACGUGAAAUUGUCAAAAGGGAAGCGUUUGACACCAGUGUUGUUUUUCCGAAAAUCAAUUAUAGAUGUUUUGUUUCUGAGGAGUGAUGACUUCAUCGGCUUCCUUCUCUCUUCACGAAACUUUUGUAAUGCACUUUUCGGUUAACAAGUCAACAUCAAUUUCUUUUGUUAGUAAAAGAGUAUUCGGAAGGUGGCUUUCUUUUCGGAGAAAGUGUUUAUAGCCCUACUACUUCUACAAUCGGAGAGAUUGAGGUCUGCAGCGUAGAUCCUUCGGGGUUAGAUACAUUUGUGCUAAGUUAUAGCCUUUCAUAGACAACUUGUUGACUAUGUUUAGUCAUGUCGCUUACUCGCUUAGUGCUAUUUUACCUACGCUUAGGAUGUUGAGUCGUAGAGCACGCAG
Molecule: ribosomal RNA, 777 nt
Filed under: uncultured Neocallimastigales
Lineage: Eukaryota; Fungi; Neocallimastigomycota; Neocallimastigomycetes; Neocallimastigales
Description: partial large subunit ribosomal RNA
Rfam family: Eukaryotic large subunit ribosomal RNA
Source: RNAcentral